ACCAGGCAUAAGCCAUUCCUACACCUGCCAGGACUGUCCUGUCUUCAUCAUACCUAGCUUAAGCCAAUACAAGAAUGAAGGGAGGAGGACUCUGAGCCUUGGUUGGCUCUAAGCCUUCACCCAAAUGAUCCUGAAAAUAAUUGUAGUGAUAGUAACAACAGCAAAUCUUGAAUAUUUGCUCUCUCUGUGUUAAGCACAAUGCUAAACACACAUACAAUUUAAUGCCCAAAACUCUAGGUAAGUAUUUUUAUCUUGUCUUUAGAAACUCAGGGAUGCU
This 277-nucleotide long non-coding RNA is filed under the name Pan troglodytes (chimpanzee). RNAcentral's name for it is "long non-coding RNA NONPTRT008934". Lineage: Eukaryota; Metazoa; Chordata; Mammalia; Primates; Hominidae. The record is from RNAcentral.